AAAAAAACCACCUUCGCUUUUAACGGUCUUUUCUAAGCCGAAGCUCGUGUUUCCUCUGUCUUCUUCGUCACGCUCACGUGUUUCUGCUUUUAAAGACUCCCUCUAUAUAUAUGCGUCGCUGAGCAAACAAGCGAAGCAAAAAUCACAAGCGAUUCCUGAAUCCUAGUGCCCUAGAAGGAAAAAUAAUGGAGGUGAAAGCCAAUGGUCCGAAUGAUGAAUCGGGUCGGAUACCGGACGGCCCGACGAACCCCAUGGUCACGCCUCUUUUAACGGAUCUCUAUCAGUUCACCAUGGCUUAUGCUUACUGGAAAGCCGGCAAGCAUCAAGAGCGAGCUGUGUUUGAUUUAUAUUUUCGGAAGAAUCCAUUUGGUGGUGAGUAUACAGUCUUUGCUGGAUUAGAAGAAUGCAUAAGGUUCAUUGCUAAUUUCAAAUUCACCGAGGAUGAGAUCUCUUUCAUCCGUGAAACUUUGCCUGGUUCUUGUGAGGAUGGCUUCUGUGAUUAUCUUAGAGGACUUGACUGCUCUGAAGUUGAAUUGUAUGCUGUUCCAGAGGGAUCAGUUGUCUUCCCAAAGGUUCCCCUGCUACGAAUUGAAGGGCCAAUUGCUGUGGUUCAAUUGCUGGAAACUCCGUUACUGAAUCUUGUUAAUUAUGCAUCACUGGUGGCAACAAAUGCAGCAAGGCAUCGAUUUGUUGCUGGAAAAACAAAAAUGCUGCUAGAAUUUGGUCUUCGACGGGCUCAGGGACCCGAUGGUGGAAUAGGAGCAUCAAAGUACUGCUACAUUGGAGGAUUUGAUGCAACAAGCAAUGUUGCAGCUGGGAGGUUCUUUGGGAUACCUCUUCGUGGAACACAUUCCCAUGCUUUUGUUAGUUCAUACAUGAGCCUUGAUGAGAUUGUGGAAAAGUCACUCCAGAGCUCUGAUGGCUCAAGCAGCUGUGAGGAUUUUGUCAGUUUGGUUCAGACAUGGUUGGACAAAAUUAAGUGGUCAAAUUCAUUACGUGGCGUUUUUGUUGAGACCAAUCAAAGCGAGCUUGCAGCUUUCACCUCAUAUGCGCUGGCAUUCCCAAAUAAUUUCCUAGCUCUUGUAGACACAUAUGAUGUUAUAAGGAGUGGAAUCCCCAACUUUUGUGCUGUUGCUCUAGCGCUCAGUGAUCUGGGGUAAUUCUGUAACUUUGCUAGUGUAUAUACUUUUUUACUAUGUAACAGUUUCUUUUUUUAGAUGAUGACAAGGUUGAACUAUUUCUUAAACCUUACUUUCACCUCAGUGACUGUAUCUCUAUCUUGAUGCUCUUGGUCUUUUAUGCAAUAAUUAUUCAGUUUUUGUUAGGCUGAAUCAGCAUUGUGAUGAAGAUGAUGAUAACCAGAAUUAUUUAUAUGACGCAUUCUUUAAAUCUGUGUUUUAAACACAUUAAGAGAAGGUCCAUUACUAAGACAAGAAGCUGCCAUGCAUAGUUGCAUAAUGCACACCAUUUCAAAUGUCUUGCUUUUAUCUUCAUAGCAUGAGCAUCCCUAUGACAUAUAAUGUCGGUAAUCUUGUCCAUAUGAUUAAGCAUUUAAUUGUAAUUAGUUUUCAUUAGUGAGUUUAGAUGGUGUGCUGUGCAGCUACAAAGCAGUGGGCAUUAGGCUGGACUCUGGUGACCUAGCAUAUUUGUCAUGUGAGGCCCGAAAAUUCUUUUGUGCCAUUGAGAAGGAAUUUGGAGUGCCCGGUUUUGGAAAGACUAGCAUCACUGCUAGUAAUGAUCUCAAUGAGGAAACUUUAGAUGCUUUAAACAAGCAGGGUCAUGAAGUGGAUGCAUUUGGAAUAGGCACCUAUCUUGUCACUUGUUUUACUCAAGCUGCUUUGGGCUGUGUCUUCAAGCUUGUUGAGAUAAACAAUCAACCUCGCAUCAAACUUUCUGAAGAUGUUUCUAAGGUUUCUAUACCAUGUAAAAAAGGGUGUUUCAGAUUGUAUGGCAAGGAAGGCUACCCCCUGGUGGACAUAAUGACUGGGGAAAAUGAACCGUCUCCAAAGGUGGGAGAACGGAUAUUGUGUCGUCAUCCUUUUAAUGAAUCCAAGAGAGCAUAUGUGGUUCCACAGAAGGUUGAGGAGCUUCUAAAGUGUUAUUGGCCUGGGAUCUCAGGUAAAGCUAGAGAAGAUUUGCCUCCUCUCAAGGAAAUUAGAGAGCGUUGCAUCAAGCAGCUCGAGCAAAUGCGUCCUGAUCAUAUGAGAAGGCUGAACCCAACACCUUACAAGGUGAGCGUAAGCGCAAAAUUGUAUGAUUUCAUUCAUUUUCUAUGGCUCAAUGAGGCGCCUGUUGGGGAGUUGCAAUAGGAGGAUGGUGAGAUGUAUUGCAUGGAGCAGUGUACAAAAUGCAGGUGUCAAGUAAUGAUUCCAGAACAGGAGCUUCUUCAAAUAGUCAGCACUCAGCACAUACACAAGUCUCUUCACAUUUAGCAAGUACCCCUUUUUGGGUUGGAGAAAUCAUUUGUUUCCGUAAUAAUCAAUAAAAUAUUUAGUUCUGUUGUGCUUUUCUCAAUUCAAUCCAAUAAGUACUUCAAUAUUUUGAGUCUGAAUACAACUGGAAUUGGAAGCAAUAGGACAACUGAAGAUUUCUGUUCCUUCGUUUUUUCCUUUAGAUUGAUGCUACAAUUUUAUAGAUGCUAC
This 2642-nucleotide unclassified non-coding RNA is filed under the name Hevea brasiliensis (rubber tree). Lineage: Eukaryota; Viridiplantae; Streptophyta; Magnoliopsida; Malpighiales; Euphorbiaceae. The record is from RNAcentral.